RNAcentral lists this small nuclear RNA (30 nucleotides) under Arabidopsis thaliana (thale cress). Its description in RNAcentral is "snRNA_14643". Lineage: Eukaryota; Viridiplantae; Streptophyta; Magnoliopsida; Brassicales; Brassicaceae. The record is from RNAcentral.
ACUAUGCCUGAGCGGGGUAAAGCCAGAGGA